Long non-coding RNA from Prinia subflava (tawny-flanked prinia), 1478 nucleotides. RefSeq lists it as uncharacterized. The record is from RefSeq and is a predicted model, not a curated record. NCBI's taxonomy places the organism in Eukaryota, Metazoa, Chordata, Aves, Passeriformes, Cisticolidae. The transcript is spliced from 3 exons.
UUAAACCAUGACAGUGAUAAUACCAAAUGUUUCUGAAAAGUACCAGAAAACCUGACAUUUCCAUAGGCAGGUAACUUGGCAAGUCCAAAGAGAACAACUGAUUUCUCGCUUUCAGCUGCUCAAAAGUGUGGUUUAUAUUUUGAGAAAAGAUAAAUAAUUCCAGACUUCCUCUACUGGGAGGAGCAGUCUGUAUUUUCAUGAGUCAUUUGAGGCUUUGUUUCCCAUAAACCUGUUUCCCCUCAGCCCUAUAUUUUUCCAAACUCGCCAGCUUCUUCUUGUUUACGUAAAGACGCUGAAAACAGAAAGUUUCCCUUCUUCAUAAUUCUGUUGUGCGUGCAUUCAAGGACCACAGAUAUUGAACAAUCUCUUCAGUGAUGUAUACAUCCUUGGAAGAAAAUUUAAUUAACCCUAAUUGAUUUUUAACCAAGUCAGUCUUCAGAGUAAGCACUUUUGAAGACUGCUCAGCUGAUCAGUGAUCAACUUGGUAAAUAGACUAAAUGGAGUCUCAUUUGAAACUGAGCUGUGUUUGCAGCCAGAGUAUGGACUGUCUGUUCUGAUUUACCACACUAGUAUUUAUAGCAUAUAAUCUAUGAAAUGCAGCCAUAAUAUUCAUUCAUAAAUGUCAACAACAAUUAUCAAAGCUGUUCCUACCAUGUUAAAUCUAGCGUUCAAUCACUCUAGUGUUUCCACGUAUUUUAGUUCCUUCUCUGUACCUGAGGAGAUACAUGUCUCAAGUUGUAACUAACAGCACUCUUUUCACCCUGAAACUCCUGCCUUUAUGAUCCCCAGAAUACUUGAAUCUGUAUCUUCUGUCCCAUGUCACAAAUUUCAAAUGUCUUUCUGCUAACUGAGAAGAAUAUAUGACUUCUGCAGUAUCUUCCUCCCACCAGAGAACCCUGGGGAAUCGCUGCAUAUUUAUUUCUGGUCUAAACACCAGCUAAUGAGGAGUUCAUCAUUACCUCAGAAAUUCCUUUCUGGAAAACAUAACCUAGGUUUGAAGACCUGGGCUAUUUUAUUCACCAUUGUGCUGCUGCAAAAUGAUACCUUCUUGCUAAUCACAGACUAUGUCUUGUGUUUUUAAACCUUAGGAGCCAUUUCUGGGAGUCUCAACUCACACUAUUAGCUAUCUCCCUGAAGGCAAUGCUAGCACAGCAACUGUGGUGCUGCUUAGAGACUGAUUUCUUGAUUUGGAAAAAUAUUGCAGCAUCAGCAAGCUCUGUUUAAUGUGGUCGUGUCACACAUUAUCCAAGUUUUGAACUGAUGAAGAUGAUCAAAUCCACCUGCCAAUGGAUUUCACAGAAUCACAGCAGCUUGGGAGAGAUCUCCAGAAGCCAUCUGGAGUAACUCCCUGCUCAAGCCAGAACACACAGAACCUCUUGCCAGGAUCAUGUCUAAAAGGCUUUUGAAUAACUUCAAGGAUGGAGACUCCAUGACCUCCCCAGGUGACCUGUGUUAGUGCUUGGUCAUCCUCACAAUAA